This 495-nucleotide ribosomal RNA is filed under the name uncultured bacterium. RNAcentral describes it as "bacterial SSU rRNA". It matches the Rfam family "Bacterial small subunit ribosomal RNA", at positions 43 to 507 of the family's 1533-position model. The record is from RNAcentral.
CGUGCUUAACACAUGCAAGUCGAACGAAGAGCGAUGGAAGCUUGCUUCUAUCAAUCUUAGUGGCGAACGGGUGAGUAACGCGUAAUCAACCUGCCCUUCAGAGGGGGACAACAGUUGGAAACGACUGCUAAUACCGCAUACGAUCUAAUCUCGGCAUCGAGGAUAGAUGAAAGGUGGCCUCUACAUGUAAGCUAUCACUGAAGGAGGGGAUUGCGUCUGAUUAGCUAGUUGGAGGGGUAACGGCCCACCAAGGCGAUGAUCAGUAGCCGGUCUGAGAGGAUGAACGGCCACAUUGGGACUGAGACACGGCCCAGACUCCUACGGGAGGCAGCAGUGGGGAAUCUUCCGCAAUGGACGAAAGUCUGACGGAGCAACGCCGCGUGAGUGAUGACGGCCUUCGGGUUGUAAAGCUCUGUUAAUCGGGACGAAAGGCCUUCUUGCGAAUAGUGAGAAGGAUUGACGGUACCGGAAUAGAAAGCCACGGCUAACUACGUG